CCUACGGGAGGCAGCAGUGGGGAAUAUUGCACAAUGGGCGCAAGCCUGAUGCAGCCAUGCCGCGUGUAUGAAGAAGGCCUUCGGGUUGUAAAGUACUUUCAGCGGGGAGGCGUUACCCGCAGAAGAAGCACCGGCUAACUCCGUGCCAGCAGCCGCGGUAAUACGGAGGGUGCAAGCGUUAAUCGGAAUUACUGGGCGUAAAGCGCACGCAGGCGGUUUGUUAAGUCAGAUGUGAAAUCCCCGGGCUCAACCUGGGAACUGCAUCUGAUACUGGCAAGCUUGAGUCUCGUAGAGGGGGGUAGAAUUCCAGGUGUAGCGGUGAAAUGCGUAGAGAUCUGGAGGAAUACCGGUGGCGAAGGCGGCCCCCUGGACGAGCUGACGCUCAGGUGCGAAAGCGUGGGGAGCAAACAGGAUUAGAUACCCUUGUAGUC
This 431-nucleotide ribosomal RNA is filed under the name uncultured bacterium. Its description in RNAcentral is "partial 16S ribosomal RNA". It matches the Rfam family "Bacterial small subunit ribosomal RNA", at positions 338 to 795 of the family's 1533-position model. The record is from RNAcentral.